AUUCCACAUCCUUUGUUUUCAUUUCAAUAAUGUUCACAGCAUCCUGACCAGAAGUAAAUUCCAUCUUAAGAAACUACUUUCAUCUAUAAGAAGCAACUCCUCCAUUUAAGUUUAACCAUGAGAUUGCAGCAAUUCAGUCACACCUUCAGGUUCUGCUACUAAUUUUAGUUCUCUUGCUAUUGCAGUUACUUCGUCCACUGACGUCUUGAACCCCUCAAAGACAACUACUAAGGUUGAAAUCAACUUCUUCCAAACUCCUGUUAAUGUUGAUAUUUUGAUCUCCUCCCAAGAAUCACAAAUGUUCUUAAUGGCAUCUAGAAUGGUGAAUCCUUUCCAGGAGGUUUCCAAUGUACUCUGCCCAGAUCCAUCACAUGAGUUACAAUCCGUAACAGCUAUGGCCGUAUGAAAUAUAUUUCUUAAAUAAUAAGACUUGAAAAUCAGAAUUGCUCCUUGAUCCACAGGCUGCAGAAUAAUAAUAUCUUGAAUGGAAUCUUUUUUUUUUUUUUUUCUGAGCAGUAGGCAUCAACCGUGGGCUUAAAUUAUUUAGUAAACCAUGCC
Long non-coding RNA from Sapajus apella (tufted capuchin), 558 nucleotides. RefSeq lists it as uncharacterized. The record is from RefSeq and is a predicted model, not a curated record. The transcript is spliced from 2 exons. NCBI's taxonomy places the organism in Eukaryota, Metazoa, Chordata, Mammalia, Primates, Cebidae.